AGAGUUGAUCAUGGCUCAGGAUGAACGCUAGCUACAGGCUUAACACAUGCAAGUCGAGGGUAGCAGGGUAGCAAUACCGCUGACGACCGGCGCACGGGUGAGUAACACGUAUCCAACCUUCCCAUAACUCAGGGAUAGCCUUUCGAAAGAAAGAUUAAUACCUGAUAGUACUUUUUCAAGGCAUCUUGAGAAAGUUAAAGAUUUAUUGGUUAUGGAUGGGGAUGCGUUCCAUUAGAUAGUUGGUGAGGUAACGGCUCACCAAGUCUUCGAUGGAUAGGGGUUCUGAGAGGAAGGUCCCCCACAUUGGUACUGAGACACGGACCAAACUCCUACGGGAGGCAGCAGUGAGGAAUAUUGGUCAAUGGGCGAGAGCCUGAACCAGCCAAGUAGCGUGAAGGAUGAAAGGUCCUAUGGAUUGUAAACUUCUUUUAUAGUAGAAUAAAGUGAUCCACGUGUGGAUUUUUGUAUGUAUACUAUGAAUAAGGAUCGGCUAACUCCGUGCCAGCAGCUGC
Molecule: ribosomal RNA, 512 nt
Filed under: uncultured bacterium
Lineage: Bacteria
Description: bacterial SSU rRNA
Rfam family: Bacterial small subunit ribosomal RNA
Source: RNAcentral